This 425-nucleotide ribosomal RNA is filed under the name uncultured bacterium. Its description in RNAcentral is "partial 16S ribosomal RNA". It matches the Rfam family "Bacterial small subunit ribosomal RNA", at positions 354 to 796 of the family's 1533-position model. The record is from RNAcentral.
GUGGGGAAUCUUGCGCAAUGGGCGAAAGCCUGACGCAGCCAUGCCGCGUGGAUGAUGAAGGUCUUAGGAUUGUAAAAUCCUUUCACCGGUGAAGAUAAUGACUGUAGCCGGAGAAGAAGCCCCGGCUAACUUCGUGCCAGCAGCCGCGGUAAUACGAAGGGGGCUAGCGUUGCUCGGAAUUACUGGGCGUAAAGGGGGCGUAGGCGGACAUUUAAGUCAGGGGUGAAAUCCCGAGGCUCAACCUCGGAACUGCCUUUGAUACUGGGUGUCUUGAGUGUGAGAGAGGUGAGUGGAACUCCGAGUGUAGAGGUGAAAUUCGUAGAUAUUCGGAAGAACACCAGUGGCGAAGGCGACUCACUGGCUCAUUACUGACGCUGAGGCUCGAAAGCGUGGGGAGCAAACAGGAUUAGAUACCCGAGUAGUCC